Petromyzon marinus (sea lamprey) is the source of this 10159-nucleotide non-coding RNA. The record is from RefSeq and is a predicted model, not a curated record. NCBI's taxonomy places the organism in Eukaryota, Metazoa, Chordata, Hyperoartia, Petromyzontiformes, Petromyzontidae.
CGUGAGGUGGUGGUGGGUUCACGCGAGGUGGUGGGUUCACGUGAGGCGCGAGGUGGUGGUGGAUUCACGUGAGGUGGGUUCACGUGAGGUGGGUUCACGUGAGGUGGGUUCACGUGAGGCGCGAGGUGGUGGUGGGUUCACGUGAGGUGGGUUCACGUGAGGCGCGAGGUGGUGGUACGUGACCCCCGUGUCUUUGCGAUGCCACGUUUCCUCGCAGCGGACUGCUAUCUCGCGGUAACCAUAGCAACAUCCGCACAGCAACAUCACUCGUAUAUCAAAGUAACAUUACUCACAUCACACAAACAUCGCUUACGUCGCAGUACACAUCACCCACAGGAACAUCACGCACGUCAUAGCAACAUCACUUACAUUACAGUAACAACACUCAGGCCAUCAGUAACUCCGUCACCUCAGAAACAACAUCGCAUUACAAUAACAGUAUCACAGACUUCCAUUACCUCAGCUACGUCCUCGCAGCAAAAUCACAGACCACAAUUCCAAAGGCCGUCGAUAUUAUGCUCGAUAAUAAAAUUGAUAUUCGGUCCUACCUUGCAAUUCAAUCAUCUUGCUUUUCAGUGGCAGAUACAUUUUAAAGGAAUGUUUUAACACGAAGGAUCGAAUUGCUACAUUAGGUUGUAAUGAUUGUUGUUAAAUUUACCGGUGAGCUUAACAAUUGGUGCAUUAAACGCUUGUAAGCGUGUUAAUUCAAUUUGUUUGGCUAUGUCGGGAGGCGGAGGUUCUUGCAACACAAAUUACUUAAAUACUACGUGAAUACACUGAAUAGUUUAUUCUCUUUCUACAGGUUGGAACAGAAGAAAAAAUAUGUUUUAAUAGACUCAAAGUUUCAGUUCCGUACCUUGAAGGAUUAAAAUUUAUUUCGAAAAACACAAUACAUGCGCACAUCACUUGUGAAACCCCAUGGACGCAAUGGAAACCGCUAUCACUGGAAAAUGAAGUCAUACACUGGGCAGGGCAAAAGAGCCACAGCAAUAUAGAAGAGUUCCUGUUCAAGGAGUGUAGCUCAAACCCGUUAUCUGAGGUGGACAUACGAGAAAAAGACUUACAUGAUCCUAAAGAACAUAUUUACAAACCAGGAGAAUAUUCAAUAACUGGUGGCCUCAAGUGGAGUAACUACACCGAAAUAGAAGAUUGUCUUCUUGAGGAAAUGUUGUCCAUCAGCGCUGUAAGAGUGGUGAUAAACAGCCACCUUAUCACACCGAAGCUCAUUGGAUGCCUUAAGCCAUAUGCACUCAGUGAUCCAUUGCUUGGAUUCUGUGCAUCAUUUUAUAGUGGAAAAAAGUACAGCAGAGAGGAAUAUACAUUUCACGAGCCACUUGAUUAUAACAAGGCAGAGAUAUACAGCCUUUAUAAUCCAAGCAGUGAAAAUAAUAUUAAACAUGUAUUUUCUCAUUUUGAGGUACGUACUCCUGACAUUCUAAGCAGUGCACUGCAUUACUGUCCAAGUAACUCAGCAGUAGAGCGAGCGGCUCGCAAUCGGAAGGUUACACGUUUAUAUUCUGGUUUCAGCAGUGGUUGUCCUAUGGAUAGCCUCAUAUCUGCCAUAGGAAUGUGGAUUUUCCAAUACUAGUUUGGGGCUUUAAACAGGCCAUAAGCACCACCUUAAGGCUUAUUUUAGCAGAAAAUAAUUUUAUCUUUGACUCGUAUUAUAAUUCCCACUUGCAGGCCAAUACUGAGUCACCUUGGACUGUACAGGCAUAGCUGGCAAUGGGGAUCUCCGAAUUAUUAAAAUGAGAUGCGAUUGAUGUAAGGGGCACUUAAGUGCCCUGUAAAUGCACAUAUUCUAAAUUGUUUAUUCAAAGGAAAAUUAUUAUUUCUAGCUGUGUAACAAGUAUGGAAAAAAGCAUAAAAAACGUGUUACUAAAUAUAUAAAUCAUCAGGUACAUAAAUAUUGCAAUGUUUAAUCUUUUUUUACAUUUUAGCUGGAAUACACCCAAACAGUUACAAGAAAACCACUCCGUUAUAUCCUAAGUGAACUACAAAUGUGUACACCAUUACAAAAACCAUCAGUUCUGGCAGAAACAUCUCAGAACGUUAAUCAAGAAAACCAUGUGGUUGAUGGGACGUGGAGGGACAUAUGUGGAGAUGUGUGUUUCAUCUUUAAGGGGAAAAACUCCUUUCAAUUGGAGAAAUUAUCCUUCAAUCCUACAACUGAAAAUAUAAAGAAAUCCCCAAAUUAUGAUGGUAAUAAUUAUGAUGGUCAUAAUUUAGGUAAGUUAAAUGUGCUUAUUUUAUAUUUGCUGUGCCUCGCUUGUUGAAAACUGAGUUCAUGUAUUUGAGCCGAGCUUUUGUUUAAGCUAAGAAUAAGCAGUAGGAUUCAGGAAUAAUUAAUGCAGUUCUCACAACAAAUUUGAUAGUAUCUAAUAGAUUGUUGUGAGAAAUGUUCUUCAACUCCCAAAUGGGCUGAAACGAUCAUGAUUGGUGCUGUAUACGCCAGAUUUGGUUGUGAGAAUUGGUGUUGUUGCUACACCUGCCAAUUUCAAUGUGUGUGGCUAUGUAGGCUGGUGAAGGGAUACACAACACAAAUGUGAGGAUUAUUACGUGGACUAACUCAAAAGUCAAUUAUGAAUCAUAUUGGUUGUGCAACUCCACGUGUUUAAUUAUACUUGUGGCCAAAAAAUAGACUUCUGGGCAAUGGAUGUAGAUAAUGACCUGAUAAGUAUUGUAGGCAUGGUUGCUACAUACAGUGCGAAAGAAGUUCAACAUACAUAUAUAGGCAUUGCUUGCAAAGGUUUUGCUAAUUGAAGGUCUGGUAAGCUACCGGUACUCGGAGACACUUUAACACACAGAUAGAUUCAACAGUAUCAUACUAUGGUAUCCCCUACAGAGUGUAUGACAUAUGAAGGUCCAUCCUGGACGUCGUCCCUGCAGGAUGUCCAUAGGAUUACUAUUCCUGCCUGAUCUUGACAUAAAGAUUGGGAGCAAUGGUCCAAGUAAUGCUUUAUCUCCCUUAAUAUUUCACUAGAUUUGAAUGCAGAAGACUUUUUGUCAGAAAGGUUUUAUCUUGAAAGACACAUUUUUCACUCAACAUGUUCAAAGUUGUCUUGCACUACAUCAUUUCAGAAUGAGAUUGCAAAUCUAAAUAUUGAACACAUCCCUGAAAAUAAUAGGUAAGUAUUCUCAAUAUACAUCGCAGUGUUCUGCUAGUUUACUGGCUAAUUUGUUCUAGUUUAUCUGUUCUUUUAAAGAUUGUAUCCUGAAAAUGCCUACAGUAAGUCGUAAUAUAGUGGAGCUUCUGCUAUUACAAAUGUUAGUAGAGGGUGCCGGAGAAAAGGUAAUUAACAUAAACUGCAUUUCCCUUUGAUCUUUUUAUUUAAUAUUCAGCCCUGAUUUAUCUUCAUCGGAGCGCAGCCAUGCUUCUUGAUGGUAAUGGCUGUUGUCAUAUGCAUAUAAUGUAGUAUGAGAAUGCCACAUCUACAGUAUUUUAAGAAAUUGAGUGGAAUAUGAAAUUUCAAAUCUAGAAUGAAAUAUUGUGUUGCUCAAAACGGAUGGUCACUUUUGCCUUAUUUCUCGAGAGAUAAGCAGGAAAUGUGUAGUGAGGAAGCAUUUUAUGGUGUGAAAGGUGCUCUAUAAAAUAAAAGUUUUUUUUAUAAUUGGGAGUCAUUGAUAAGUUGGCCAUGGAAUGUAUUUAUAUUACCAUGGCUCCGACAUACAAAAAGUAAACUGCCAAUUGAGAAUUCUAUCUAUUAUUGUGUUGAUUAUUUCAACACAGUUGCUGAGCACAAAAUCAAAGGCCCAUGAUGUGAAGUGGUCAGCAACAGAAAGUACUAGCCGAAUUGUAAUAGAUAAGCGUUAAAACGUGUUUUUAAUUGAGCAAGGUUGUAAGAUCUUGGGAAAGAGGUGAUGUUGGGAAAUAAUUAUAUCACACUGGACUGAUAACUGUCGUAUUUAAAUGCUUUUGUUUUCAAAUCUCUUUUCAGACACUUCAUGUCCAAAGAGAUAAAAAGUUCAAAGUUGAGAAGAUUUUGGGAAUCUGAAAUGCAAUUUCGUGAUAUCCACUAUUUAUUUCUUGCUGUUCCCAACGAUUUCUCCAGCAACGCUGAAAUGAAUCCAAUAGCUCUUGCUCUUAAACAGCUUAAGCCGUCUCAUGCACAAGUUUGUGGAAUUAAAGUAAUAAAUGUUGAAUAUUUGCAGCAGUUUUUGAUACACAAAGCUGUGUCAUUGCACACUGCACUGGUCCAUGGCACAAGUAGAUUUGGAGUCUUGGAAGAUAAUCGAGCUCCUCACGUUGAGGUUGAAGUUCAUAGAUCUUACACGACAGAAAAUCUUGAAGCCAUAAAACAUAGAGCUGAAAUGAUCAAUGGACAAUAUUUAGAUCAAUCCAUGAAGCAAGCUAUGGAUUGUAAUAAUGACCAUCAAGAAUGCCUUGUGUCAAACUUUUGUAAAGCUGAGAGUUUGCAAAUAUGUGAAACAAAAGUUGUGCUGGCUGGUCAAUUUUCCAAUCAGAGUUCAACAAGUUGGUCUAAAUCAAACAACAAAAUAUCUACUCAAAUUAAAACUCAGAGAGUCCCUUUGCAAGAAAAUGUAAAAGAAUUACCAAUGCAAGCGCCACUCUUUAGUGAUACAAAAACGAACUCUCUGCACGAGUAUUUAAUAUUACAAUACAGAAAUGAAUCCAUAAAAACGCCAUCUAAGCCAUGUUCAGCAGUAAUUGCAAGAUCUGUAAAUUUACCAUCUUUUAAAAACGUGAAAGUGAAUUACGAAGAAAACAAGCCAUGUGACCUCUCCAUUGUUACUAAUCCAGAGGCGGCAGAAAGUGCUGUACUUAAACCUACCCACUGUAAGAAAGAAAAAUCUACAGUUGUUGAUGUUCUGCUUUCAGAUGCCAUGUGUAAUUGUAUAAGAAUCUUAGAGCUGUCUGCUAGAACAAGCAUGGAAAUGUUAAGACGUAAUAUCAACUCAUUUAUGAGCACUGGGAGUUUCGUGCAGCUUACACCGGACAUGAUGCAAUAUUUGGUGAAGAUAAUAGAAAGGUUUCUCCACGAUGAGAAAGAAAGUGAUGCAGAAAACUAUAGAGAAAUGCAUAUGCAUGCAGUGAUCCUCCAUGCGUUGGUAAGAGCAGCGGAUUUAAUAGUCAACCAGGAUCUUUCAGUCGCAAUAGCAUUUCUUUCUGAGAAAAAAGAUGCUGAUGUGGAGCUGCAACAAAUAUGGAGACAAUUGACUACCGUACAAUUUGCAUUUAAAGAAAACCAUGAAGCUCACUCAAAGCAUGAAAAAUUAAAAAGUCUGAUAUCAGAUUGGCUGACAAGGAAGAAACGGAAAAGGAAUGACAUUGACCCAAAGAUCAUGAUUAUUGUGAAUCGGCAUGCUAAAAUGCUAUACUCAGCUAUUGCACAAAGCCUGAAUGGGAUUAAAGGUUUUAAAGUAAAGUACAUCUCUCCAAAAGAUGAGUCAUUUGGAUAUAACGAAAUUCUGAAAAACCUGGACAAUGCAUCAUGCAUAAUAAUAGGCAGCGAAGAUCUUGCAGAAGAUUUUCCAUGGGCACAAAUUUCAUUGGUGAUUGAAUUUGAGUUCUCAGCUACUUCUCUGUGGGCAGAUGUUUGCAAGAGGCAGUUUAUACGAUACGUUUCUCUCAGAACGGUGCUGCCUGCUUGUUGGGAAGAAGAAGCAAGGCCAAGUGUGUCAUUGUUGGCUUCUCUGCAUGUUCCUUACAAACUAAUCAUGUCUCAGAAGCUGACAGGCAUCAAGGAUUCUUCGAGGUUGCUGGAAUCGCGGUACAAUGUGUUUUUCUGUACUUUAUGAUUUGUGUACAAAUAUGAGGUGUAUAACGAUUCAGUAUUGUGUUUCAAUUCAGGGGUCCAAUUAGACGCAAUUUUUUCAUUUUGUUAUGGUUUUUACUCUCCUAUGUGUAGUUUCUGUGUUUCUAAUUCUUUUGUGCAGUUUUGUUCUGUAUUGUGUCCCUAAAUGUAACAUGAGCAUAUACGUUGUUUAUUUAACAUAAAGCAAAAUACAUUCUUGAACAAGAUGUGUGUAUUCUUGCAAAGUUACACCCCUCACACAAUGACUAACAUGCCGAGUCACAUGCCAUUGGCAUUAAACCAAUAGCAAAGAUAGACAGAUGUAGUCAGAACAGCUAUAAGAUAGACAAAAAAAUAGAGAUGUAUUCAGACAUGAGAUAGUAAAGAUAUUUACACAGGAAAGCUAUACAAGGAAUAUAAAAUAUGUUUCCAGAUGCGAGGCAUUGAGAUAAAAGACAUUCAUAAUAGAUGUAACAUAAAUGAGGGAAAGGGAAAGAGGUGAAGUCAGUAAAAAAAUAAAAAAAAUAAGUUACGUAGAUAUCCACUGAAAAAAUCUCUAAGAAUAGAGAGAAGAUAUAUUCAUAAGAGCACGACAAGAGAUAGGAGGGAUAUGGGUUCAUAAUACAGCUUAUGAGGGACGGGAGCAUUGUUUUCAGAGGCAAAAUUUAAGAGAUUUCAGAAACAUUUGAUCUAUAAUGUAAAUAUUCAUGAUAUGAAGAUAUUUUGCACACCAGACAAUAAGAUUGUGGGGGUCUCAUAUGGUACAAUAUAUCACUCCGUGGGCUACGUCCACUUUAAACAUUUAUAGACAGUUUGCCUUUAGAGGCUUACCCCCUUUUUUCCCCACCUGAUGACGAUCGCUUGUGUUGCGAUCGAAAAAUAGUUUUUUGUAUUUGUUUUAACCAAUCUACGCGACUUUACCGAAAGACCCAAUAAUAUAUCGUAAUAUCGUCAAAUCACGGAAACCAUGCUGAUAUACAAUAAUGUGCAUUCUGAUAUACAAAAAAUGUGACGUCUUGUAACAGGAACAGUGUAACAAUAAUGGAAAGAAAUUACAAUGAAUUGACAAUUCAGACUUCGGAAGGAACACAUCCUAUAUUUUAUGCUGAUUUAAUUAUUGAUGAAGGCACAGCUAUAGUCCUAAAGGUAUUUUUGCUCACACCGGGUAUUAGACUAAGAUUGUACUUUGCAUGAAUGUAUCGACUGAAAUAAUGGGUAAAGAUGGAAGCAUCAAGUUGGUAGUUAUAUGUGAGAAGCAUGAUUUAUUUCUGUCAUCGAACCCCAAUCUUGCAUUUUGGAUAGCAAUGAGCAUUUGAAAUAUAGUACAUUCGUUACCUGUUUUUCUCUGAUUUCUGUUUGCUCUACUGUUGUACAGUAUUUAGCUUUUAUAUUCUUUUAUUUUGGUGACAGGUCAACUCUUAAAUAUUAGACUCUCAUUGCCUCUUUAUGUUAAACAAGAUAAACUUGAAACCAGUUCAACUUACAAUAUUUUUCACAGUUUUGUGUCAUCUAUUAUGUUUAGUUUGUAAAAACAUAAUUGCUGUUUUGCGUGUUUGUGUGCAGAAUUUAGAAUGUUUACACGAAGAAGGUGCUACAGACUACAUAAUUUCCCACCUGGCAGCAUUGUCUCUGCAAUUCCAAAAAUGCUGGCUCAUUCUUUAUUUAUCUUCGUCCGAUUAUAACAUGACAUUCUUCAAACUGGAAGCAUUCAAGAAACAGUAGAAGCAAUAAGGGCGAUUGGGGAUGUGACACUCUUCAGCAGCAAGGGUUGGGACCUUGACCACUGUAUUAUUAGGCCUUUUCUGAAGCCCCUGGUUUCAAAGGUAAGCUAACUUCAUGCAUAUCUACAUCUAUAUGAAGUACAAUGCAGCCCCAGUGCAUACUUGCCUAUUUGAAUGCUACUGACAUUGUAAUUUCUUUGUGAGUGCUGAUCCACAAUCAUGGAUUACCAAGCAGCCCUUGAAAUUAGUUACCAAAAUGUGCCACAAUACUACCACAGUCAAGGCUUGAUGUUAACUGUAUGCCUGGACUCUUCAGCAAUACUCUACAGAGCGCAUCUGCAGAGUAUAAAUCACGCACGUUUGGUUGAGUGGUCUUUUCGGAGGGGUAUGGGGUAGAACAAGGGACUGGCCAGUGUGAUAUUUUUUUAUAUAUGCAAUAUGUUCAGGAGCUAAAUGCCAAUGUAGACGUCUGCUAGCCAUGAGACGGCUUCCAAGAGAGAGUUCGUGUGGUUUUACUAUUUCUCUAUUGAAGGAGCGCCAACUGCAUUGGUUUACCAUACUGUAUUGUCCAUAGUUUGGGUUGCAUGGCCAGUCGCACUACUGUGGCUUGUCUUUAAAUAUCAAUGGAGAAGAUGUGUGCAUCAGCCUGUUGAUGUUCUGAUGCAGUUGAUGGUUACACCAGUGUCUUCGAGGAAUGUCAAAGCCAGAUGUGAUGUUUCGGUCUCGAAUGAGGUGUUCUGGAUGUCUGUUCUCCCGUGUGAUGUUAUCUAUCAAUGUAAAAUGCCUCUGAUGGAUGUCGUGGUGGUGGCCAUGAUGAACUCCUUAUAUAACAAAAUAAAUCAGGUUUUUGUUUACUAUUCCAUAUACUAAUGGAGUAGCCUUCUGCUGAAAACUGCUCUGCAAGGAUUUACAUUCAUUUAGUUGUGACACUUGCUGUUUUGGAUGCUCAAUGUUCUCGACUUUCUGCUGACGUUUUUUGCAAUGUUUUUAUUUUAACAAUAAGAGAUAUAUAGACAGGUUAACAUUUAUUGUUCACGAACCCAGUGUAAUUAUUGUCAUCUGUGUUUUAAAUACAAAACACGAUUUUUCUUCCAUUUAUAGGAGGAGCAAUUUUUGCUCGGAUUUCCUUGUAUUAAUGCAUUCGUAGCACAACUGAUGUUACAAAAAUUAGAUUCACUCCAGCAAAUCCUGUCAUUGUCACUGCCAACAUUAUGCAACCUUUUACCCCAAGUGCCAACAAAGGUCUUGAAGGUAAAGUUACGCUGUGUCCUGCCGAAACCGCCUUUUUAAAAACAAUAAUUGUCUCGAGCUUGCUCAUGUUUGUAAUCAACAAGUUCCUCUUUUACCACUUGUAUCGGUUUGUCUGUAGUAGUAUGACCAUCUCUUUGCAGUAUUAACUAUGAAAUCGACAUUCGCAUGCAGACUGGCUCUGUCUUUUUUACAUUUAAACCUUUUUUUACUUCCUGGCCCAAUCACUCAAUAACGUGCUAAAUUAUGUAUAGAAAUAAACACUGGCAUUAAUUUGUACUGAGCAGUGGUGCGGUGGUUAACAUACUGCACUGUUAACCUGGCGACCCGAGUUUGAUUUUCGGCCAUGGCUAAAACCUGUGGCAAGUAAUAUCUGAACCUGGCUUGGGGCCCCCUUUCGCAAUCCAUACUUAGCAGCGUGGUGAGGUAUGGUCAAAUAAGCUCCAUGACUAAGAGGGCAUGGGGAGGCCUUCAUCCAAGAGUGGAUUGACAACAUUUUAAAUUAUUGUUUUGCCAUGUUUUUUUUACUUUCAUAUAUAUAAAGAGAGCAGUACGCAAUUGUCUAUACUGAUGCCUGUUAUAGUCUUGGUUCUUUCGGUAAAGUCACGUAGAAGGGAAACAAUAAAAUGAUAAAAAUAUAAAACAAUGUGAGAAUUUUAUUGUUUUAUAUUAUUAUUUUAUUGUUUCCUUUCUACGUGACUUUACCGAAAGAACCAAGAAUAUGAAUCCCUGCAGUCACGAAAGCUUUCCAUCAAAAUUUGAUGCCUGUUACUUAAAUUUUCAAACAUUCCCACAGCUUUUCAAUGAAAUAUGUAUGAAGUACCAGCCAGUCAAAAGAAUGGAACAAGAUGAUGACUUUAUGCAUUUAAACUCACCUCCAUUUGAAACCUCAAGUUUUCACCACACUCAUCAAGAGGAAGACACAUUUUUAUUUGGGCCUGUUUUAAUGUCAGGUAAAGCAAUUCAUGUAUAAAUAUUGAACUUGUUUUGGCUGAUGAAUAAUAUAUAUCUGAGUAAAAUUCUGAACUUUGUCAAUUCCAGUCUUCAACUUACGAACUGGUUCUGUUCCUGAGACCCGUUCAUAAAUCGAAUGGUUUGUAAGUCAUAACGUAAUAAUGUACUGUAUUUAAAUGCACAUAUGGUCAGUGUUAUAAAAUGUGUUACGGUUCAACAAAAAAGGAAAGCAUUGUUAAACUCAAAUAAUUAUUGUGCAUUUGCAUGCAAUACUGUAAUACUGUAUAGUACAAUAAAACUAAAUAAAGUAACAAAUAGAAAAAAGUCAGCUUUCUUUUCACGUACCGUCAGUCCUGAUACUGGCUUGCUUGUCAGAAAGGGUAGAAAUUGAGUCGCCACAAUUGUACAUAGGGUAAAACCUAUUCCUAUAUCUUGUUUCUGGCAAAGGAGGUCUUGGUACGCCUUUUGGCGUCUUCUGGU